GGACUACCCGGGUAUCUAAUCCUGUUUGAUCCCCACGCUUUCGUGCAUCAGCGUCAAUUCAUCCGUAGUCAGCUGCCUUCGCAAUCGGUGUUCUAUGUCAUAUCUAAGCAUUUCACCGCUACAUGACAUAUUCCGCUAACCUCCAGAAAAUUCAAGACCUAUAGUAUCAAUGGCAGUUUCAAAGUUAAGCUUUGAGAUUUCACCACUGACUUACAGACCCGCCUACGCACCCUUUAAACCCAGUGAAUCCGGAUAACGCUUGCACCCUCCGUAUUACCGCGGCUGCUGGCAC
This 292-nucleotide ribosomal RNA is filed under the name uncultured Bacteroidota bacterium. RNAcentral describes it as "uncultured Bacteroidetes bacterium partial 16S ribosomal RNA". Lineage: Bacteria; Pseudomonadati; Bacteroidota. The record is from RNAcentral.